Molecule: ribosomal RNA, 86 nt
Filed under: Listeria monocytogenes
Lineage: Bacteria; Bacillati; Bacillota; Bacilli; Caryophanales; Listeriaceae
Source: RNAcentral
CCCGUUCCCAUCCCGAACACGGUAGUUAAGCUUCUCUGCGCCAAUGGUAGUUGGGGGCUUCCCCCUGCGAGAGUAGGUCGCUGCCG